RNAcentral lists this ribosomal RNA (498 nucleotides) under uncultured bacterium. RNAcentral describes it as "partial 16S ribosomal RNA". It matches the Rfam family "Bacterial small subunit ribosomal RNA", at positions 27 to 507 of the family's 1533-position model. The record is from RNAcentral.
GGAUGAACGCUGGCGGCGUGCCUAAUACAUGCAAGUCGAGCGAACGGACGAGAAGCUUGCUUUUCUGAUGUUAGCGGCGGACGGGUGAGUAACACGUGGAUAACCUACCUAUAAGACUGGGAUAACUUCGGGAAACCGGAGCUAAUACCGGAUAAUAUUUUGAACCGCAUGGUUCAAAAGUGAAAGACGGUCUUGCUGUCACUUAUAGAUGGAUCCGCGCUGCAUCAGCUAGUUGGUAAGGUAACGGCUUACCAAGGCAACGAUGCAUAGCCGACCUGAGAGGGUGAUCGGCCACACUGGAACUGAGACACGGUCCAGACUCCUACGGGAGGCAGCAGUAGGGAAUCUUCCGCAAUGGGCGAAAGCCUGACGGAGCAACGCCGCGUGAGUGAUGAAGGUCUUCGGAUCGUAAAACUCUGUUAUUAGGGAAGAACAUAUGUGUAAGUAACUGUGCACAUCUUGACGGUACCUAAUCAGAAAGCCACGGCUAACUACGUG